Molecule: ribosomal RNA, 659 nt
Filed under: uncultured Planctomycetota bacterium
Lineage: Bacteria; Pseudomonadati; Planctomycetota
Description: bacterial SSU rRNA
Rfam family: Bacterial small subunit ribosomal RNA
Source: RNAcentral
AGAGUUUGAUCCUGGCUCAGAAUGAACGUUGGCGGCGUGGAUUAGGCAUGCAAGUCGCGCGAGAAGCUAAUUAGCUUGCUAAGAGGCGGACAGCGGCGGAAGGGAGAGUAACGCGUGGUUACGUACCCUCGAGACCGGGAUAGUAGCGGGAAACUGCUAGUAAUACCGGAUAACAUCUUCGGAUCAAAUGGUGUGAUUCCGCUCGAGGAUUGGACCGCGUACUAUUAGCUUGUUGGCGGGGUAAUGGCCCACCAAGGCUGCGAUGGUUACCGGGUGUGAGAGCAUGGCCCGGCUCACUGGGACUGAGACACUGCCCAGACAUCUACGGAUGGCUGCAGUCGAGAAUCUUCGGCAAUGGACGAAAGUCUGACCGAGCGACGCCGCGUGCGGGAUGAAGGCCCUCGGGUUGUAAACCGCUGUCAGUUAGGAGGAAAUCCCAUAGGGUUCUCUCUAUGGGUUGACCGAUUUUCAGAGGAAGGACGGGCUAAGUUCGUGCCAGCAGCCGCGGUGAGACGAACCGUCCAAACGUUAUUCGGUAUCACUGGGCUUAAAGCGUGCGUAGGCGGCUUGAUAGGUGAGAUGUGAAAGCCCACGGCCCAACCGUGGAAUUGCGUUUCAAACCAUCAAGCUCGAGGAAGAUAGGGGUGAUGGGAACUUAU